AGAACGAACGCUGGCGGCGUGCCUAACACAUGCAAGUCGAGCGCGAAAAGGGCAACCUGAGUAGAGCGGCGCACGGGUGCGUAACACGUGGGUAAUCUGCCUCAAGGUCUGGGAUAACCUUCCGAAAGGUUGGCUAAUACCGGAUAAGCUCACAGAGACUUCGGUUUCAGUGGGAAAAGGUGGCCUCUAUUUAUAAGCCAUCACUUUGAGAUGAGCCCGCGGCCCAUCAGUUAGUUGGCGGGGUAACGGCCCACCAAGACUACGACGGGUAGCUGGUCUGAGAGGACGAUCAGCCACACUGGAACUGAGACACGGUCCAGACUCCUACGGGAGGCAGCAGUGGGGAAUUUUGCACAAUGGGCGAAAGCCUGAUGCAGCAACGCCGCGUGUGUGAUGAAGGUCUUCGGAUCGUAAAGCACUUUCGACCGGGAAGAACCACCUCUGGCUAACAGUCAGGGGUCUGACGGUACCGGGAGAAGAAGCACCGGCUAACUCUGUG
RNAcentral lists this ribosomal RNA (499 nucleotides) under uncultured bacterium. RNAcentral describes it as "SSU rRNA". It matches the Rfam family "Bacterial small subunit ribosomal RNA", at positions 26 to 507 of the family's 1533-position model. The record is from RNAcentral.